This is a long non-coding RNA of Dreissena polymorpha, 926 nucleotides long. RefSeq lists it as uncharacterized. Lineage: Eukaryota; Metazoa; Mollusca; Bivalvia; Myida; Dreissenidae. The record is from RefSeq and is a predicted model, not a curated record. The transcript is spliced from 3 exons.
UUUUUGAAAACAACAACUUUUGAAAAAUAAGCUGGUGUCAGCAAUUGAAUAUUGAGCUAAAUUUAAUUCAGCAACAUUAAUAUAAAGAAGUGAAAGACUUAUAAUGGUAGUGUAAAAUGUCUUGAAAUUCUGUCAGCAUGAAGUAUUGUGUGAUGAAAACAAUGUGUUUUUUACUGCAAUGUGGAAAUCAAUAAUAAGUUGGUUGGAAAGGAGGUUGAACUGCCUGUUGUUGUUUUUGGAAUACUGAAGAACAGUUUUAACAGGUUAAACUCUUGCCACAAGGCAAAAUUGACAUCGAUGGGAAGAUCCUUUGGAAAGAAUGUGCAUCAUCGCCUGCCUGACGUAUGGACUUUUAAACCUGGUUUUUACCCUGCACAAGCUGGCAAACUUGAGGGGAACAAGAGUGGGAAAACCUCGCCCUGUCCUUGACCAAGAAAGCUCGAUUUGUUGAGAGAUCAACUGGCAUAAGAGAUGCUCAAGAGGAGAAGGACACAAGCAGCAUCAAUGGUACAACUACGUGUCGCUCCAGCGCCCGCUUUCCAGGUCUCUACCAGCUGCUUUCCAGGUCCCUCCACCCGCCAAGAUCAGGUCUAAUUCCCUGCACUGGCUGCUUUACAGGUCCCCUAGCAGUCAAGGUCUCUCCAGUAGCUGCUGUGCAGGUCCCAACACCGUAUGCCGUCAAGGUUCCUCCAUAAGCUGAAAUCCAGGUUCCUCAUUCCACUGCGGUGCAGGUACCUCCAACAGCUGAGAUCCAGGUCUCUGCAGCAGCUGCGGUCUAAAUACUCCACCCGCAGUGGUCCAUUGCGGUCAACCUUUUGCUUUAAAAUCUUCCAUAAAUGUCUAUUAUUUUAUAAUGUAUUGUAAAAAUAAUCUGUUUGUAUAAAUUUGCGGUGUACUAUUUUUGUCAUAUAAACAUAAUUUUCGUA